UAUAUACUCCCUCUGUCCGGAAAUACUUGUCAUCAAAAUGGAUAAAAGGGAUGUAUCUAGAUGUAUUUUAGUUUUAGAUACAUCCCUUUUUGUCCAUUUACAUCCCUUUUAUCCAUUUUGAUGGCAAGUUUUUUCGGACGGAGGGAGUAUAAU
This is a non-coding RNA of Triticum urartu, 153 nucleotides long. The record is from Rfam. Lineage: Eukaryota; Viridiplantae; Streptophyta; Magnoliopsida; Poales; Poaceae.